RNAcentral lists this ribosomal RNA (1420 nucleotides) under Staphylococcus sp. RNAcentral describes it as "bacterial SSU rRNA". It matches the Rfam family "Bacterial small subunit ribosomal RNA". Lineage: Bacteria; Bacillati; Bacillota; Bacilli; Caryophanales; Staphylococcaceae. The record is from RNAcentral.
AGUCGAGCGAACAGAUAAGGAGCUUGCUCCUUUGACGUUAGCGGCGGACGGGUGAGUAACACGUGGGUAACCUACCUAUAAGACUGGGAUAACUUCGGGAAACCGGAGCUAAUACCGGAUAACAUUUGGAACCGCAUGGUUCUAAAGUGAAAGAUGGUUUUGCUAUCACUUAUAGAUGGACCCGCGCCGUAUUAGCUAGUUGGUAAGGUAACGGCUUACCAAGGCAACGAUACGUAGCCGACCUGAGAGGGUGAUCGGCCACACUGGAACUGAGACACGGUCCAGACUCCUACGGGAGGCAGCAGUAGGGAAUCUUCCGCAAUGGGCGAAAGCCUGACGGAGCAACGCCGCGUGAGUGAUGAAGGGUUUCGGCUCGUAAAACUCUGUUAUUAGGGAAGAACAAACGUGUAAGUAACUGUGCACGUCUUGACGGUACCUAAUCAGAAAGCCACGGCUAACUACGUGCCAGCAGCCGCGGUAAUACGUAGGUGGCAAGCGUUAUCCGGAAUUAUUGGGCGUAAAGCGCGCGUAGGCGGUUUCUUAAGUCUGAUGUGAAAGCCCACGGCUCAACCGUGGAGGGUCAUUGGAAACUGGGAAACUUGAGUGCAGAAGAGGAAAGUGGAAUUCCAUGUGUAGCGGUGAAAUGCGCAGAGAUAUGGAGGAACACCAGUGGCGAAGGCGACUUUCUGGUCUGUAACUGACGCUGAUGUGCGAAAGCGUGGGGAUCAAACAGGAUUAGAUACCCUGGUAGUCCACGCCGUAAACGAUGAGUGCUAAGUGUUAGGGGGUUUCCGCCCCUUAGUGCUGCAGCUAACGCAUUAAGCACUCCGCCUGGGGAGUACGACCGCAAGGUUGAAACUCAAAGGAAUUGACGGGGACCCGCACAAGCGGUGGAGCAUGUGGUUUAAUUCGAAGCAACGCGAAGAACCUUACCAAAUCUUGACAUCCUUUGAAAACUCUAGAGAUAGAGCCUUCCCCUUCGGGGGACAAAGUGACAGGUGGUGCAUGGUUGUCGUCAGCUCGUGUCGUGAGAUGUUGGGUUAAGUCCCGCAACGAGCGCAACCCUUAAGCUUAGUUGCCAUCAUUAAGUUGGGCACUCUAGGUUGACUGCCGGUGACAAACCGGAGGAAGGUGGGGAUGACGUCAAAUCAUCAUGCCCCUUAUGAUUUGGGCUACACACGUGCUACAAUGGACAAUACAAAGGGCAGCUAAACCGCGAGGUCAUGCAAAUCCCAUAAAGUUGUUCUCAGUUCGGAUUGUAGUCUGCAACUCGACUACAUGAAGCUGGAAUCGCUAGUAAUCGUAGAUCAGCAUGCUACGGUGAAUACGUUCCCGGGUCUUGUACACACCGCCCGUCACACCACGAGAGUUUGUAACACCCGAAGCCGGUGGAGUAACCAUUUAUGGAGCUAGCCGUCGA